Molecule: ribosomal RNA, 497 nt
Filed under: uncultured bacterium
Lineage: Bacteria
Description: partial 16S ribosomal RNA
Rfam family: Bacterial small subunit ribosomal RNA
Source: RNAcentral
GACGAACGCUGGCGGCGUGCCUAAUACAUGCAAGUUGAGCGCUGAAGGUUGGUACUUGUACCGACUGGAUGAGCAGCGAACGGGUGAGUAACGCGUGGGGAAUCUGCCUUUGAGCGGGGGACAACAUUUGGAAACGAAUGCUAAUACCGCAUAAAAACUUUAAACACAAGUUUUAAGUUUGAAAGAUGCAAUUGCAUCACUCAAAGAUGAUCCCGCGUUGUAUUAGCUAGUUGGUGAGGUAAAGGCUCACCAAGGCGAUGAUACAUAGCCGACCUGAGAGGGUGAUCGGCCACAUUGGGACUGAGACACGGCCCAAACGCCUACGGGAGGCAGCAGUAGGGAAUCUUCGGCAAUGGACGAAAGUCUGACCGAGCAACGCCGCGGGAGUGAAGAAGGUUUUCGGAUCGUAAAACUCUGUUGGUAGAGAAGAAAGUUGGUGAGAGUGGAAAGCUCAUCAAGUGACGGUAACUACCCAGAAAGGGACGGCUAACUACGUG